This 133-nucleotide ribosomal RNA is filed under the name uncultured bacterium. Its description in RNAcentral is "partial 16S ribosomal RNA". It matches the Rfam family "Bacterial small subunit ribosomal RNA", at positions 356 to 480 of the family's 1533-position model. The record is from RNAcentral.
GAGGAAUUUUGCGCAAUGGGGGAAACCCUGACGCAGCAACGCCGCGUGAGUGAUGAAGGCUUUCGGGUCGUAAAGCUCUGUCAGGUGGGAAGAACCUGUCAUAUGUCAAUAUCAUAUGGCACUGACGGUACCA